UACGUAGGGUGCAGGCGUUAAUCGGAAUUACUGGGCGUAAAGCGUGCGCAGGCGGCCUCUUAAGUCAGAUGUGAAAUCCCCGGGCUUAACCUGGGAACUGCGUUUGAAACUGGGAGGCUAGAGUGUGGAAGAGGGGGGUGGAAUUCCAGGUGUAGCAGUGAAAUGCGUAGAUAUCUGGAGGAAUACCGGUGGCGAAGGCGGCAUCCUGGACCGACAUUGACGCUGAACGGCGAAAGCUAGGGGAGCAAACGGG
This 253-nucleotide ribosomal RNA is filed under the name uncultured bacterium. Its description in RNAcentral is "partial 16S ribosomal RNA". It matches the Rfam family "Bacterial small subunit ribosomal RNA", at positions 524 to 776 of the family's 1533-position model. The record is from RNAcentral.